AAUAUAUCAACCUUCAGAAUCUUGUUUUGAGUGGAUUGGAUGUGGGUUUGCUGGCCUCCUUUAAAGGGUUCAGCUCCCCUGAAAUGCAUUAGCAGAACAAACCUUGCUCACUGGUGUGAUAAAACUAUCUAUGCUAUUGAAUUUGGGGGAAAGUUCCAGCUUUCUAACAACAGUCAGUCCCUUGGGACAAUCUUGUCAUCAUUA
Molecule: unclassified non-coding RNA, 204 nt
Filed under: uncultured Cortinariaceae
Lineage: Eukaryota; Fungi; Basidiomycota; Agaricomycetes; Agaricales; Cortinariaceae
Description: sequence contains ITS2
Source: RNAcentral